AGCAGCCGCCACGGUAAUACGUAGGUGGCAAGCGUUGUCCGGAAUUAUUGGGCGUAAAGGGAGUGUAGGCGGUCUUUUAAGUCUGAUGUGAAAGCCCACGGCUCAACCGUGGAGGGUCAUUGGAAACUGGGAGACUUGAGUGCAGAUGAGGAGAGCGGAAUUCCAUGUGUAGCGGUGAAAUGCGUAGAUAUUGGGAAGAACACCAGUGGCGAAGGCGGCUUUCUGGACUGCAACUGACGCUGAGGCUCGAAAGCCAGGGGAGCGAACGGGAUUAGAUACCCCGGUAGUCCCUGUCUCUUAUAC
This 303-nucleotide ribosomal RNA is filed under the name uncultured bacterium. RNAcentral describes it as "partial 16S ribosomal RNA". It matches the Rfam family "Bacterial small subunit ribosomal RNA", at positions 507 to 807 of the family's 1533-position model. The record is from RNAcentral.